Long non-coding RNA from Catharus ustulatus (Swainson's thrush), 339 nucleotides. RefSeq lists it as uncharacterized. NCBI's taxonomy places the organism in Eukaryota, Metazoa, Chordata, Aves, Passeriformes, Turdidae. The record is from RefSeq and is a predicted model, not a curated record. The transcript has 4 exons.
GAAAAACCUCUGAAGAAGGAGAAAGUCUGGAAGUUUGCCGAGUGCCUGCUGACAGAGGACGACACCCGAGUCGCCAAUUACCUACGGCAGGCACUGCAGUACCUGCAGAGCCCACAGGAGUCCCUGAGAGCAGCGGCCAUCAGGUUCAUUGGGCUCGCCGGGAGGACAGUGAGGAGGCAUCCGCAAGACCUCGAGGUGCUCUGCAGAGCCCUUGAACACACGACAGAUGACAGAAGCGGUGCCGUGUCAGACCUUGCACUUGAAACAUUGUAUGUCCUCCGGGCAAUACAGAGUGGGCGAUAUUCCAUCUUCCAGAGGCUUCAACAUCGGUUCCGCAGG